RNAcentral lists this ribosomal RNA (498 nucleotides) under uncultured bacterium. RNAcentral describes it as "bacterial SSU rRNA". It matches the Rfam family "Bacterial small subunit ribosomal RNA", at positions 986 to 1482 of the family's 1533-position model. The record is from RNAcentral.
AUAUAUCGGAUCGCCUGUGAAAGCAGGUUUCCCUUCGGGGCUGAUAUACAGGUGCUGCAUGGCUGUCGUCAGCUCGUGCCGUGAGGUGUUCGGUUAAGUCCGGCAACGAGCGCAACCCGUAUCGUCAGUUGCCAGCAGGUAAAGCUGGGGACUCUGGCGAGACUGCCUGUGUUAAGCAGGAGGAAGGCGCGGAUGACGUCAAGUCAGUAUGGCCUUUACGACCAGGGCUGCACACGUGCUACAAUGGGGGGUACAAUGGGAUGCGAUGCCGCGAGGCGGAGCAAAUCCACAAAACCUCUCUUAGUUCAGAUUGCAGUCUGCAACUCGACUGCAUGAAGUUGGAAUCGCUAGUAAAGGCGUAUCAGCUACGACGCCUUGAAUACGUUCCCGGGCCUUGUACACACCGCCCGUCACAUCAUGGGAGUUAACUGCACCCGAAAUCGGUGAUCCGACCUGCAAAGGAGGAAGCCGCCUAAGGUGUGGUCGAUGACUGGGAUG